CUGUGCUUCACCCCUAGCGAAAGGGCGAUCGUGUCCUGGGACGUGGCUGGAUGGGUUGGGCUGAGAGAGACUGACUGGCCCAAAGUCACCCAGCCAGCUUUCAUGCUUAAGAAAAUCAAGAGGCCUCGGGAUCCGGGCACAGCAGAGCCACCCACACACCUCAGUGGAGCAAUUAAGUCCAGAACAUUGACCACCUUCAUAUUCUACAGAUUAACCAGAUAUGAGUCAGAACUCUCUGCUAAAUUGUCAUCUGGAUUUGUUAGACACCCGAGGCCAAUCUAAUCGAUCCACUGCCCUUGAAGGAGGUCAAGGCUACUGAGAUCCAUAAUCUGAUGAGAAAACGAACUGACCAUGGCAAAAGAUAAAAGUUAAUUCCUCUACCUUCAGAUCGCAUUUCACCUGCUGUAAAAUAAAAGCCAAUUCAAGUCUGUA
Long non-coding RNA from Crotalus tigris (Tiger rattlesnake), 432 nucleotides. RefSeq lists it as uncharacterized. Lineage: Eukaryota; Metazoa; Chordata; Lepidosauria; Squamata; Viperidae. The record is from RefSeq and is a predicted model, not a curated record. The transcript has 3 exons.